RNAcentral lists this small nuclear RNA (106 nucleotides) under Mus caroli (Ryukyu mouse). Lineage: Eukaryota; Metazoa; Chordata; Mammalia; Rodentia; Muridae. The record is from RNAcentral.
GUUCUCGCUUUGGCAGCACAUAUACUAAGAUUGGAAUGAUACAGAGAAGAUUAGCAUGGCCCCUGUGCAAGGAUAACACAAAUUUGUGAAGCGUUCCAUAUUUUUU